CUCCGCUCCGCUCCUCUCCCCAGCCUGAAUAAGCAUCGGGGCUCUGGCUGCCUCCUUCUGCCUUCAUACCAGAGCCCGGAGAGGCCCCUGUCAAAAUAAGAGCUCCACCAUCUCGCUCGCCUUCUCGCCCAGGCCGGCUCCCCCAAGCCUCCCAGUGGUCUGACUCGGCUGAGCUGGAAAGGAUGGAAGGUGGGGAAGAGGAGAAACACUAACCAUGUCCUAAACUAUGCCGGGAUCGAAGAAGAACUUUGACUAGAGGCCUCCUUAAUCUAUUCCCCCAAAAGCAACCUCCCUCAACUUGCUGUGAAGCCAAGAAGGGGGCAGUGAUCCUCAAGGAGACAGAACCUAGCAAAAGAUGCAAGCGGGGGUGAUAUUUAAGCACAGAAGAUUCUGCUGGGGUCACACGGACUUAUCUCUGCCCACUACCACCAUGGGCAUCACUACUUACCCAACCUUAUUUUCACAAACUGUCCGAUCCAGCCUACACUCAGAGUGUUAAUCUGUAUGGCAGUUCACUGUCUCCAGCACAUUAUGCUCACUCUUGACUGCUGUGUACCAGGCUUGCCUCCCUCCCAACCCCCAAUCUCCUUCAAGGCCCACUUCAAAUUCUGCUUCCCCCAUGAAGCUUUCCCAGACUUCCGCAAUUCUCACCGAUCUCCCUCUUUAAAAUCCCAACAGCUCCAAAAGUCAGUAUCACUCAACUCCACACUUAAUUUUAUAAUAUUCUGUACCAUCCUUUCAAGUCUUGGCCUUGUCUCCUCAUGUAGAAGAUAAGUUACCUGAGGGCAAUAAAGGUGCCUCACACUU
Molecule: long non-coding RNA, 807 nt
Organism: Trichosurus vulpecula (common brushtail)
Lineage: Eukaryota; Metazoa; Chordata; Mammalia; Diprotodontia; Phalangeridae
Exons: 2
Source: RefSeq, a predicted model, not a curated record